AUUCCAGCUCCAAUAGCGUAUAUUAAAGUUGUUGCAGUUAAAAAGCUCGUAGUUGGAUUUCGGAAUGGGCCAGUUGGUCCGCCGCAAGGUGAGUUACUGACUGGUUUGUUCUUCUUCGCAAAGACUGCGUGUGCUCUUUACUGAGUGUACGUAGGAUUUACGACGUUUACUUUGAAAAAAUUAGAGUGUUCAAAGCAGGCUAUCGCUUGAAUACAUGAGCAUGGAAUAAUGGAAUAGGACUUUGGUUCUAUUUUGUUGGUUUCUAGGACCGAAGUAAUGAUUAAGAGGGACAAUUGGGGGCAUCCGUAUUUCGUUGUCAGAGGUGAAAUUCUUGGAUUUACGAAAGACGAACAACUGCGAAAGCACUUGCCAAGAGUGUUUUCAUCA
This 387-nucleotide ribosomal RNA is filed under the name Rathkea sp. RNAcentral describes it as "partial small subunit ribosomal RNA". It matches the Rfam family "Eukaryotic small subunit ribosomal RNA", at positions 582 to 975 of the family's 1831-position model. Lineage: Eukaryota; Metazoa; Cnidaria; Hydrozoa; Anthoathecata; Rathkeidae. The record is from RNAcentral.